Molecule: ribosomal RNA, 484 nt
Filed under: uncultured bacterium
Lineage: Bacteria
Description: bacterial SSU rRNA
Rfam family: Bacterial small subunit ribosomal RNA
Source: RNAcentral
GAUGAACGCUGGCGGCGUGCCUAACACAUGCAAGUCGAGCGUGAUUAAGUGGAGUGAGGACUUCGGUCUGAGUGAAACUUAUGAAAGCGGCGGACGGGUGAGUAACGCGUGGGCAACCUGCCCCAUACAAAGGGAUAGCCAUUGGAAACGGUGAUUAAUACCUUAUAAGUCGGUAGUCUCGCAUGAGAUAGCCGACAAAGAUUUAUCGGUAUGGGAUGGGCCCGCGUCUGAUUAGCUAGUUGGUGAGGUAACGGCUCACCAAGGCGACGAUCAGUAGCCGACCUGAGAGGGUGAUCGGCCACACUGGAACUGAGACACGGUCCAGACUCCUACGGGAGGCAGCAGUGGGGAAUAUUGCGCAAUGGGGGAAACCCUGACGCAGCAACGCCGCGUGAGUGAGGAAGGUCUUCGGGUCGUAAAGCUCUGUCAGGCGGGAAGAAAUGCAUGGAGGUGAACAGCCGCCAUGCUUGACGGUACCGCCAGA